AUUGAACGCUGGCGGCAGGCCUAACACAUGCAAGUCGAACGGUAACAGGAAGCAGCUUGCUGCUUUGCUGACGAGUGGCGGAAGGGUGAGUUAUGUCUGGGAAACUGCCUGAUGGAGGGGGAUAACUACUGGAAACGGUAGCUAAUACCGCAUAACGUCGCAAGAUCAAAGAGGGGGACCUUCGGGCCUCUUGCCAUCGGAUGUGCCCAGAUGGGAUUAGCUUGUUGGUGGGGUAACGGCUCACCAAGGCGACGAUCCCUAGCUGGUCUGAGAGGAUGACCAGCCACACUGGAACUGAGACACGGUCCAGACUCCUACGGGAGGCAGCAGUGGGGAAUAUUGCACAAUGGGCGGAAGCCUGAUGCAGCCAUGCCGCGUGUAUGAAGAAGGCCUUCGGGUUGUAAAGUACUUUCAGCGGGGAGGAAGGGAGUAAAGUUAAUACCUUGACUCAUUGACGUUACCCGCAGAAGAAGCACCGGCUAACUCCGUG
Molecule: ribosomal RNA, 490 nt
Filed under: uncultured bacterium
Lineage: Bacteria
Description: partial 16S ribosomal RNA
Rfam family: Bacterial small subunit ribosomal RNA
Source: RNAcentral